RNAcentral lists this ribosomal RNA (271 nucleotides) under uncultured bacterium. RNAcentral describes it as "partial 16S ribosomal RNA". It matches the Rfam family "Bacterial small subunit ribosomal RNA", at positions 29 to 295 of the family's 1533-position model. The record is from RNAcentral.
AGUGAACGCUGGCGGCAGGCCUAACACAUGCAAGUCGAACGGCAGCACAGCAGUAGCAAUACUGUGGGUGGCGAGUGGCGGACGGGUGAGGAAUACAUCGGAAUCUGCCUAGUCGUGGGGGAUAACGUAGGGAAACUUACGCUAAUACCGCAUACGACCUACGGGUGAAAGCGGGGGAUCGCAAGACCUCGCGCGAUUAGAUGAGCCGAUGUCCGAUUAGCUAGUUGGCGGGGUAAUGGCCCACCAAGGCGACGAUCGGUAGCUGGUCUGA